GUGCGUGGCGUGUCCGCUGGACCAGGGGACGGGGGCGCGCCGCAGGUGUAGGAGCUUUGCGCGCCUACCUGGCGGUCGUGGGUCGAGGAGGGGUCAAGAAUUGUUGUCUAGCAGCCCUCUCCCCGCUGCCCUGUCCUGGCCGAGGCAAAGGCCGCGUGCGCUCCGCGUCUGCCAGGCUUUAGGGCUGCGCGGACACUGGGUGGGUGGUGGGCCGAGGCGACCGGAAGGUCCUGGCCGCCUUUCCGGUCUCCUCAGCACCCUGGAGCGCCGCCCUCGGGUUUCGGUCUCCUGGAUCUGCGGGUCGGUCUCGGCGGGCGGAUUACUCCUCGCCCACAACCUCGAGGCCCCGGGGUCAACCGCGCCCUCCGGGCCGGCAACCCAGGGUUUAGUCAGAUUCCUCCUGACCCACCGCUUCUGGGAAAGAGGCGCCUCCCGUCAGGAGGAUGCUGAGUUCCUCAUGACUGGACCAGUGAGUGUCCACUCCCUGGUCCCUGGCGAGAGAGGCGGGACCCCCACGCCCUCCUGGCGCUCUUUGCAGAGAUGUUCCUCAGGCCCAAUCCGGGAUUUGGGAUGUCUGUGCGUGCUGUGGAGCAGAGAGUUUGCAACAUGGUCUCACUUUGUCACCCAGGCUGGAAUGCAUUGGCAUGAACACGUCUCACUGCAGCCUCAACCUCCCAGGCUGAAGUGACCCUCCAACUCUGCUUUCACAGUAGCUGUGAUAUGGUUUGGCUGUGUCCCCACCCACAUCUCAUCUUAAAACCCAGUGGGAGGUAAUUGAAUCAUGGGGGCAAGUCUUUCCUGUGCUGUUCUUGUGAUAGUGAAUAAGUCUCAUGAGAUCUGAUGGUUUUUAAAAGAGUUCUGGCUGGGCAUGGUGGUGGGCACCUGUAAUCCAAACUACUAGGGAGGCUGAGGCAGAGUGAAUUGCUUGAACCUGGGAGAAGGAGGUUGCAGUGAGCCGAGAUUGCACCGCUGCACUCCAGCCUGGGCAAAAUUGAAGACUCUGUCUCCAAAAAAAAAAAAAAGGAGUUCCUCUGCAUAAGCUCUCUCUCUUUGCCUGCUGCCAUCCAUGUAAGAUGUGACUUGCUCUUCCUUGCCCUAUGAUUGUGAGUCUUUCCCCAGCCACGUGGAACUGUAAGUCCAAAUAAACCUCUUUCUUUUGUAAAUUGCCCAGUCUUGGGUAUGUCUAUCAGCAGCAUGGAAAUGGACUAAUACAGUAAAUUGGUACCAGUAGAGUGGGGUGUUGCUGAAAAGAUACCUGAAAAUGUGAAAGUGACUUUGGAACUGGGUAGCAGGCAAACAUUGGAACAGUUUGGAGGGCUCAGAAGAAGACAGGAAAAUGUAGGAAAGUUUGGAACUUCCUAGAGACUUGUUGAAUGGCAUUGACAAAAAUGCUAAUAGUGAUACGAACAAUAAGAUCCAGUCUGAGGUGGUCUCAGAUGGAGAUGAGGAACUUGUUGGGAACUGGAGCAAAGGUGACUCUUGUUAUGUUUUAGCAAAGAGACUGGUGACAUUUUGCCCCUGCCCGAGAGAUUUGUGGAACUUUGAACUUGAGGGAGAUGAUUUAGGGUAUCUGGUGGAAGACAUUUCUUUUUUUUUUUUUGUGACGGAGUCUUGCAUUGUCGCCUGGGGUGGAGUGCAAUGGUCUGAUCUCAGCUUACUGGGUUCAAGCAAUUCUGUCUCAGCCUCCCGAGUAGCUGGGAUUACAGGCGUCCGCCACCACGCCCUUCUAAUUUUUUGUAUUUUUAGUAGAGACGGUUUCACUAUGUUGGCCAGUGGAAGACAUUUCUAAGCAGCAAAGCAUUCAAGAGGUGGCUUGGGUGUUGUUAAAGGCAUUCUGUUUUGACUGGGUGCGGUGGUGCACACCUAUAAUCCCAGCACUUUGGGAGGCCGAGGAGGGUGGAUCAAGAGGUCAGGAGUUCAAGACCAGCCUGGCCAAUAUGGUGAAACCCUGUCUCUACUGGAAAUACAAAAAUUAGCUUGGCAUGGUGGUGUGCGCCUGUAGUCCCAGCUUCUCGGGAGGCUGAGGCAGGAGAAUCGCCUGGACCCGGGAGGUGGAGGUUCCAUUGAGCCAAGAUCAUGCCACUGACUCCAGCCUGGGCAACAGACUGAGACUCUGUCUCAAAAAAAAAGAAAAAAAAAAAGGCAUUCAGUUUUAUAAGGGAAGCAGAGCAUAAAAGUUUGGGAAAUUUGCAGCCUGACAAUGUGAUAGUAAAGAAAAUCCCAUUUUCUGAGAGGAAAUUCAAGCUGGCUGCAAAAAUUUGCAUAAGUACCAAGGAGCCGAAUGUUAAUAUCCAAGACAAUGGGGAAAAUAUCUCCCAGACAUGUCAGAGGUCUUCAUGGCAGCCCCUCCCAUCAACAGGUCCAGAGGCCUAGGAGGAAAAAGUGGUUUUGUGGGCAGCACCCAGGGUCCCCAUGCUAUGUGCAGCCUAGGGACUUGGUGCCGUGCGUCUCAGCUCCUCCAGUGGUGACUGAAAGGGGCCAACAUAGAGCUCGGGCUGCUGCUUCAUGGGGUGGAAGUCCCAAAUCUUGGCAGCUUCCAUGUGGUGUUGAGCCUGCGAGUACAUAGAAGUCAAGAAUUGGGGUUUGGGAACCUCCAUCUAGAUUUCAGAAGAUAUAUGGAAAUUCCUGGAUGCCCAGGCAGAAGUUUGCUGUAGGGGUGGGGCCUUCAUGGAGAACCUCUGCUAGAGCAGUGCAGAAGGGAAAUGUGGGGUCGGAGCCCCCACACAGAGUCCCCGCUGCGGCCCUGCCUGAUGGAGCUGUGAGAAGUGGACCACCGUUCUCCAGACCCCAGAAUGGUAGAUCCACCGACAGCUUGCACCGUGUGCCUGGAAAAGCUGCAGACACUCAAUGCCAGCCUAUGAAAGCAGCCUGGAGGGAGGCUUUACCCUGCAAAGCCACAGAAGUGGAGCUGCCCAAGACCAUGGGAAUCCACCUCUUGCAUCAGUGUGACCUGGAUGUGAGACAUGGAGUCAAAGGAUAUCAUUUUGAAGCUUUAAGAUUUGACUGCCCUGCUGGAUUUCAGACUUGCAUGGGUCCUGUAGCCCCUUUGUUUUGGCCAAUUUCUCCCAUUUGGAAUGGCUAUAUUUACCCAAUGCUUAUACCACCAUUCUAUCUAGGAAGUAAAUAACUUGCUUUUGAUUUUACAGGCUCAUAGGCAGAAGGGAUUUGCCUUGUCUCAGAUGAGACUUUGGACUGCGGACUUUUGAGUUAAUGCUGAAAUGAGUUAAGACUUCGGAGGACUAUUGGGAAGGCAUGAUUGGUUUUGAAAUGUGAGGACAUGAGAUUUGGGAGGGGCCAGGGGUGGAAGGAUACGGUUGGGUUCUGUGUCCCCACCCAAGUCUUAUCUUGUAGCUCCCAUAACCCAUGUGUCUUGGGAGGGACCUGGUAAUUCAAUCAUGUGGGCUGGAUGCGGUUGCUCAUGCCUGUAAUCCCAGCACUUUGGGAGGCCAAGGGGGAGAUCACUUGCGAUCAGGAGUUUGAGACCAGCCUGGCCAACAUGGUGAAACCCCAUCUAUACUAAAAAUACAAAAAUCAGCCUCCCGUGUAGCAGGCAUUGUCACAGGCGCCUGCCACCACACCCACCUAAUUUUUUUGUAUUUUUAGUAGAGACGGGGUUUCACCGUGUUAGCCAGGGUGGUAUCGAUCUCCUGACCUUGUGAUCCGCCCACCUUGGGCUCCCAAAGUGUUGAGAUUACAGGCGUAAGCCACUGCACCCGGCAAUAAACCUCUUUCUUUUGUAAAUUGCCCAGGUAUGUCUUUAUCAGCAGCAUGAAAAUGGACUCAUACAAUGAUCCAUUACCUAGGGUAAAAUUCUCCUGAAUGUCAAACAGAGAUAAACUACAUUUGGGUUUUGGGUAAGUCCCCUGUAAUGAUGAAUCAAGAAUCCUCAAGUCUGUCUUGCCACCCAUUUAAUACGUAUUUUUGUUAAGGCUGAAGUUUAGAGUUAGAAUCAGGACAUUUUGGCCUAUUGAGAGGUUCUGAAUUCCAACAGAAGAUGCCAUGUAAAUCAGUGAAUUUGAUUCUUUUAAAAGCAACUUACAAAAUUUACAAGAUGUAUUCAAUAAAGCAGUUUAGCUUUGGUAUAUCAAACCUUAUAAUGAACCAUUUUUCCCACUUCAUCUUAUGCAAUGUUUAAUAUUUUCUAUUUUUGUCAAGGAUAUUAAACCUACACCUGGAAACAUAUUAAAUGCCAACUUAAAAUGUGAGAAGUUUGGCAGAACUCAGACCCAUUCUUCCAAUUUCCAAGCUGUUUAAUCACACUGAUUCAGACACUCUGGAUAGCAGCUGGGAUUGUAGUUAUCUUUAUGCUUUGAGCUCUCUAGUUUUGUCUACACAUCUUAUAAAAUAUCCCCUCCUCAUUCUCCUCUAGCUGGAACACUAACCCAAUGGAUGUUGUGGUGAACUUUCUUUGACCAGGCAGAGAAGUGCAGCAUUGGGUGGACCAUGCACAACCAGUUUGAGAAGCACUGCUCUAGGGGUUGGGGGAGCAACAAUAGAAAGAGUGUAGGUUCUGAAUACCUGAAGCAUACAUUUUAGCUCUAGACUGCUUAUAUUGUUGUUACAUGAAAGAGAACUUUUAAUCUGGUUUAAACCACUGGAUCUCUUUAUUCCAGCAAGUGAAUCUAUAUCCAACUAAUAUUUACUCCCAGUCUGUUCUUUCUCACCCCUCUUUCCCUUACUAUAAACCUUUUCUAUAUCAAUUUAUAUCAUUAGUUGCUCAGCCCACAAACCAGAUGUCACUUUUGUUUUCUCUUUUCCUUCCCAUUCAUAGCCAGGCCAUCGUUGUGACUUAUUGGCUGUACCUCCAAAAUAUAUCCCAGAUCUGAUCUCUUCUUAUAAUUUGUACUGCUACAACCUUAGUCAAAGCCACUAAUAUCUCUUAUCUGAACUCCAGUGGUUUACUAGUUUUCUGCCUCUCUUCUUGACACAAUUCAUCUUUCUACAUAGCAGCCAGAGUAAGAUAAAAUCAUAAAUCAGAUCAUAUAACUUCUACCCCCUGUACCAAUGGCUAUCUUUUAUACUCAGAAUAAAAUCCAAAACCUUUAUUUGGCUUCCAAGAUCCUACAAGAUAGAGACCUUACUUCUCAUCUUGUACCCAUCAUUUGAUCUUCAGUCCCUUGAAAAUGCCAAGUCUAUUUCCAUUUCAGGGCCUUUGUGCUUGUUACUAUUGUUUCUUUUCUCUUGGAAAACUGCCCAGAUCUUUCCUUAGCUGAAUUAUUCAGAUCCCAACUCAAAUAUCAUCUCUUUAGAAAAUUCUUUCAGAACCAGGUGUGGUGGUGCACACCUGUAAUCUCAGCUACUCGAGUGGCUGAGGCUGAUGGAUUUCUUGAGCCCAGAAGUCUGAGGCCAGCCUGGGCAAUAUAGCAAGAUCCUGUCAAAAAGAAAAAGGUAUCUCACCAUGAUUAUAUUUUAAUUUCCCUUCAGCAAUUAGAAGUCCCUGAAAUUAAUUUACCUUAUUUGUUGGCAACCUCUGCCUCCUGGGUUCAAGCGAUUCUCCUGCCUCAGCCUCCUGAGUAGCUGGGAUUACAGGCGUGCACCACCACGCCUGGCUAAAUUUUGUAUUUUUAGUAGAGAUGGGGUUUUGCCGUGUUGGUCAGGCUGGUCUCGAACUCCUGACCUCUGAUCUGCCCACCUCGGCCUUCCAGAGUGCUGGGAUUACAGGCAUGAGCCACCAUGGGCCCACAAAGCUAUUUUACUUAGCAUUUUUUUUCCCGAGGCUAAAUUGGGAACUACUGACAAUACUAUUGACAAUACUAAAUAUAUUUUUAAAUUAUUUUACUUAUUUUUGAGACAGGGUCUCACUGUGUCACCCACGCUGUAGUGCAGUGAACCAUCACCACUCACUGCAGUCUCACCCUUCCUGAACUCAGGUGAUCCUCCCACCUCAGCCUCCUGAGUAGCUGGGACUACAGGCAUGCACCACCAUGCCUGGCUAAUUUUUAAAAUUUUUUGUAGAGAUGGAGUUUCGCCAUGUUGCCCAGGCUGGUCUCAAACUUCUGGGUUCAAGUGAUGCAAGUGUCUCAGCCUCCUAAAGUGCUAGGAUUACAGGCGUAAGCCACUAUGCCCAGCCUUUUAUUUUAUUUUAUUUUAUUUAUUUAUUUUUUGAGACAGAGUCUUGUUCUGUUGCCCAGGCUAGAGUGCAGUGGUGCAAUCUCAGCUCACUGCAACCUCUGCCUCCCAGGUUCAAGCGAUUAUCAUGUCUCAGCCUCCCUAGUAGCUGGGAUUACAAGUGUGCACCACACGCGGCUAAUUUUUGUAUUUUUUGUAGAGGCAGAGAGGCAGGGUUUUAUUAUGUUGGCCAAGCUGGUCUUGAACUCCUGGCCUCAAGUGAUCUGCUCACCCCGGCCUCCCAAAGUGCUGAGAUUACAGGUGUGAGCCACCAUGCCCACCAACCUAUUUUUUAUUUUAAAAAAUUGACAGCAUACUAAAUGUUUGUAAUGCAAAUGAUAAAAUUGCUACAAUGAAAACAAGAAGUUGAGAAUUAGAUGAAGAGUUGAUUAAGGGAACUAUGAGUCACUGUGUUAGAGCAUGUAUAUUAUGAAAAUUAUAGCAGAAGUGAUAAAGGGUGACAAUUGUUACCUAUCUUCAAUCAAAAGCUCUUUGAAUAUCUUUCUUUUUUUUAAUUUUAUGAAUUUUUUUUACAGAGACAGGGUCUCACUAUAUUGCCCAGGUUGGUCUCGAACUCCUGGGCUCAAGGGAUCCUCUUGCCUUGGCCUCACAAAGUACCUGGAUUACAGGCAUGAGCCACAGUGCCUGGCCCUCUUUGAAUAUCUUUAAUGCUUUUAGAGAUUAGCAUCAGAGAAUUAUUAAUACUAGAGGGCACAAGGAAUUAGCCAUUGCCAGUGGACACCUACAUAGGUGUGACUAUGUGACUCAGUUUUAAAAAUGUGACACAAUGAAAAAAUUCCUUGGAUGUUAUGGAGGACGAAAAUUUUGUAAGUCCUAUCCAUUCUUUAAUGGAGAAACUAAAAUUUACAAUAUUACUUUAUUUAGCCCAAGAUUUUCUUAAGCUUUGUAUUUUCUAAUUCAGCUUUGGCUUACAGAAUCAUGCUUGAAGUUUGAGACUGCCAGCUUUCAACAGGCAGUUACUAGUGAAACUCUUUGGAAAGAUGAGAAGAUGUUGACAUAAGUGUAAUGUGAGACAAAGCAAAGUAAAAUGUAAUUUUUAAGAAAAUGUUGCCGGGUGUGAUGGUGGCUCAUGUUGCUGUUGGUUGCUAUGGGAGUGAACGAAGGGGGACGAAUGCAGAAAUGAAGACAAAGACAAAAAGAGUAUUUUUGGAAGAAGGGGUCAGGGGACUCCUUGCUUCUAGUGGGCAAGGGCCCUGAGCUUCUACAGCCCUUCAUAUUUAUUAGGUAGAAAGAGCAGGGAGGGAGAGGUAACAGUUGGUCAGCUGCUUGAUUUAUCACAGGUACACAUAAUUGCUUCCUUUGUACAACAGGCUUCAGAUGUUACUAUAGAUAAUCACAAGGAACACUGCGCUUGGGGCAUGACUGCCCUCAGCAACCCUUCUGGCGGCAGACACAGUUGUUAGUUUUCCAACAUCCUGCUUUCAUGAGAACAGUUUUCUGUUUGCUCAUAUAGCCUUCAGUGGUAUACUGAGUUGGUCACGACCUUCAUUCUUUCGGCCUGUAACAUCUCCCCAUUUUUGUUUUUGCAUUAAUUGAAUAAAGGUAAUUGCAGGUUGUGCAGCUCUCAAUUGCCGUUUGGUGGUCCAGCUGAUUUUGCAGACUGUUAACAAAAAACAAAAAUAUAAUAACAUUAAUCCCAUAGUUACAAAAAAGACAUUGAGAUGCUAUUUGAAGUAGGUCCCAGGGUUAAGGCUGUCUAAACCUUGCUGGAAUUCUGCCCAAGCUUUUAAAGAGGGCUGAAACGCUUGAGUCUGCUUAUUCAAGUUAAGGAUUUUACUUUGUAAAUCAUUAAUAUCAAAAGUAACAUUGAAUGUGAAAGCUCCCUGUAAAUGGGCUUUUACAAGGCUCAAUGGAUAUUCACUUUGGUUAUAUACCAAAUUGGUCACACAAAUAUGAGUAUGAUUAAAAUGACAACGCAUUGCUGCUGCAACUGCAAACUUUGUACUUGUUCCCCUAGCCAUAGAACAGUAGUCUUUAACAUUGCCACCUCUGUUUGUAUUUCGGUGUUAAUUUUAUUUUGAAGCAUCCAUGCCUGGUCGACUGUGCAUGUCCAGUUUUCCACAUAUUGAGCUGUUUGAAUGGAGCUGUGCGUUGCUGCUGAGGACAACACAACAGAGGUUAUUAAUGUAACUAAGGAGACUAUAACAAAAAUUAUCAUGCCUAAGGCUCUAUGAGCACGAUGAGUAAGCGGAGUAAAAAGGAGUUUCAUAAGAUGUAAAGCGGGGGUGGCUGCCCAAGGCUAAGAUAAAUUUACAGGAAUUCAUAAUCCAGGAACAUGACCUAGAAUUGUUAGGGUGGAUAUGUCAUGUGUUUGUAUUGUGCUAUGAUUAAGGCAAUGAUACAGUUGACAGGAAUCACAAGUCAAUUGGGCAUCAUCUACCUGGAGGUGGGUUUUUUUUGCUGCUAAGAAAAUAUAAGGAUUAAAAACAAAUUGUAAAUUGAGUGGUAAUAUUUUCUACAAGGGUAACAUUAAAACUGUGUUUAGCACAAUUACUAUUAUUGGAUAGUGUCCCAAUCCAAAUGCUGCCAUUCAUAAAUGGGAGUGCUGCUUUCCAUAUUGACUCCUGAAUUGGACCUCUCUUUCCUUGAUAAUGCCAUUGAGGCAAAGGUGAGCUAAAGCAUGUGCUGUGUCAAGCAAUUUGGGCAGCAGAUUGAGAUUGAAUUGCAAUGUGAUGUAGUGGGAGAUGUUAAAGUUUUGCCACCAGUUCCAGCAAAGUUAAUGCCAUGAGGUCUGAUGCUCAUGUCUCCCAACCAAAUGACCAUGGGGACCCCAGUAAAUAAUGUCUCCCAUUAGCAUGGACUGUUGUCUAGCUAGGGAGCUAAGACACGGGGUCCAAGGAGGGGGGUUAGAAUUAUCAAAGGGAGCCCAUUCUAUAUAAUUAAUACAAUUUGGGUGAUGGGGCCGGGAGUGAUUAGUAACUACACCAGUAAUAUUAGUAGAACUAAGGCCCAAUAGGUACGUAAAUUUUCCAUGGUAACUCAACCAUGCCUGGGAUUGAAUUGCAAGGCAACUGCAGUUGAGCAGUGUAUCCUGGGUGAUGCAUAAAGAAAGGCCCUCCAAUGGAGUGGUAUAAUUGAUACCAUUGUUCUGAGAGUCUAAUUGCUCUGUGUCAGGGGGAGUUAAGGGUCCCGGUGCCCAUGCUCCUUGAUCAUGAUAUAUCUCAGGAGGAGUGUCACCCCGGUCAUACUACCGGGGGGUUAGGAACAUAAGCCCAAUAUGUUUUUGCCUCUGCACAGGGAAAACAUAGCACACAGGAUAUCAUAGCUAGCAUGGCCAUAAACAUGGAGUCAGGGGUUUUUGCCUGACCCUGAUGCUCCAGCAGUUUCUCAUCUUCUUGUGUGGUUUUCUUGAUCUGUAAAACACAAGCAUACCCUCAUCCCCAUGUCAGUAAAUCUACCAGGCCUUUCCAUUGUCCUUCUUCCAGGGAUUUCCAUAAUACUUUUGGGUAAACUUUCCUUUUUCCCUCUAACAUUUGCCAGUGUCAUUCUACCGGAGUCUUAUUAUCUGUACCAGGAGUUAAAAAAUUUAAAGUAAAUAAUGCUAAAUGUAGUAUUGUUUGAGGUGGUAACUGGUCUCCUAUACCUCCUUUUUGUUUUUUCAGCGCAUGUUGUAAUGUUUGAUGUGCCUGCUCUAUAAUUCCUUGUCCUCGAGGGUUAUAAGGAAUUCUUGUUUUGUGAGUGACUGCCUAUAACUGUAAACAAUUUUGAAAAGCAUGACUAACUUAAGCAGGUCCAUUGUCAGUUUUUAAUUGUUUAGGGACCCUCAUAUCGGCAAAUGACAACAGACAAUGUCAUUGGACAUGGCCAGCUGUUUCACCUGUUUGACAUGUAGCAUGCAGCAUAUGAGAAUAAGUGUCUAUAGUCAUAUGAACAUAGCUAAGUUUGUCAAAGGCUGCUAUAUGUGUAACAUCAAUUUGCCAGAUUUCAUUUGGAGCUAAGCCUCGUGGGUUACAUCCUUCUACCGGUAUAACACCAGGGACAUGCUGACAAGUGGGGCAGGCUUGCACAAUAGCUCGAGCCUGGCUUCGAGGCAGAUGAAACAUACAAGUAAGGGCAGAGGUGUUUUGAUGCAGUAAUGCAUGAGAGGCUUCAGCUUGCUGAAACACAGAACCAAUCAAUUUAUCUGCUCUAUCAUUACCUAGAGGUAGUGGUCCAGGAAGUUGUGUGUCAGAGCGAAUAUGAGAAAUUUGAAAAGGAGCAGCAUGAGAGCAAACAGCUCGCUGAAGUCUUAGAAACAAGUUAAACAGCUCUGGUUCUAGGGUGCUUUUAAUAGUAGCAGUCUCAAUGCGACUGGCUACAUUUACAACAUAGGCUAAAUCACAGACAAUAUUAAUAGGAGAGGAAGCAGUGAGCUGUAAAACCUGAAUAACUGCCAUUAAUUCUGAGCAUUGAGCUGAAACACCAGGGAUUUUUAUUGUUUUAAUAUGCUUAGGUCCAUAAAUAGAUGCUCAGACUUUGGAAGAGCCGUCAGUGAAAUAAGUCUGGCCACCUGGAAUAGGCUUGUGAUGAGUAAUCACAGGGAGGAUAAAAGGGUAAACUUUAUAAAAUUGCAAAACUUUGUCUGAUGGAUAAUGAUUAUCUAUUAUUCCUUUGCUUCAGCCAACAUCGUAGAGCGAUGAAGCUCAGUUCCCACAUCCUGACAAGCUUUGAUAAAAUUUCCUAAGCUUUUUAUACAUCUCACAGAUGCCAAUGCAUGUUUACAGUCCGUGUUUGCAUUCUCAAAAGCUAGUUAAGGUUAGCAUUUCUGUAGCCAUGGUAAGAGAAAUCUGACACUUCACUGCCUAUGGUAAUCUUGCAAGAAAAUGUGCAUAGAGCUCCUGUGACCCUUUCAUGAUAUGUAAGAGAUUGUACUGGGACCCUUUCCUCUGGAAUUGUGGCCCAGGUGCGUUUAACAGCCAAGGCACACUGCUUACAAGCAGCGUCUGGGAGUGCUAUUUGAUGUUCUAGGUCUGAAUAGGGGCCACUGCCUAACAGCAUCCUCUGUAAUGUCUCUGUGUCCAGCAGCACGAUUCUAUCUAGCCUGGUCUGCACACAGUUCUUGCCAAUUUAAAUACCAUAUCAGGUAUGCACUAGCAGACAAACAAGUGCAAGCCAAAUGCUUUACAUCAAAGGGUGGAAGGCGCAUAGCGCCAAAUAGAUUCUAGCAGUCCUAAAGUAAAUGGGCUUUGUAUUCCAUUAUUAACUACACUAGCUUUUAAUUCCUUCAGCAACUUAAAUUCUAGUGGGGUGUGUUCAUGAAUAAACUGCUGUGGAUUAUGUGGAUCAGGCCUUACGGAAAUAGGAAAAGCUCAAGGUCCUAAGGGUUCUCCAGCCAUAGCAGUAGAGUGUAAAGUUCUUUGUAUUGGGGUCUCUAUUUCUGCUACUGAAGGAGGCGGUUCAGAUGUUUCUGCUACUAGAGGGGGUGACACAGGCCAAUUUUCAUCCUCCUGCUCCUGUUUAUUAUUUUUAAUUGGCGCUGUUGAGAGAACAGAAAGAUUCUUUCAAAUUUUUUGACUCUGAACAUGACUCCUGCUGUCUAGCAGAAUAAGAAAUGAAUAAUGGCAGGAUGAACUAAACUCCAAAUAUAAAAAAGAAAAUAGCCAAAUUCUUCCCCCAUGUUACCCUGAUUCAGAAACUUCCCGUUCCCAGUACCUCUUUAGGGCACUGACCUUAUAUUAGCUGUCAGCAGACUCGUCGCAGGGUUUCUCAUUCUCGUUCUUCUUGUCAGUGUCAGUUUCUCUGCUCCAGCAGACCUUCACUCACGUCCCUGUCCUAGGUGCCAGUUGUCGCUGUUGGUUGUUAUGGGAGUGAACGAAGGGGGAUGAAUGCAGAAACGAAGACAAAGACAAAAAGUAUUUUUGGAAGAAGGGGUCAGGGGGCUCCUUCUAGUGAGCAAGGGCCCUGAGCUUCUACAGCCCUUCGUAUUUAUUAGGUAGAAAGAGCAGGGAGGGAGAGGUAGCAGUUGGUCAGUUGCUUGAUUUAUCACAGGUAUACAUAAUUGCUUUCUUUGUACAACAGGCUUCAGAUGUUCCUAUAGAUAAUCACAAGGAACACUGUGCUUGGGGUGUGACUGCCCUCAGCAACCCUUCUGGCAGCAGACACAGUUGUUAGUUUUCCAACAUCCUGCUUUCAUGAGAACAGUUUUCUAUUUGCUCAUAUAGCCUCCAGUGGUAUACUGAGUUGGUCACGACCCUCAUUCUUUCGGCCUGUAACAGGCUCAUGCCUGUAAUGCCAGCACUUUUGGAGGCCGAGGCAAGAGGAUAGCUUGAGCUCAGGAGUUGGAGACCAGCCUGGGCAACACGGUGAAACCCCAUCUCUGCAAAAAUUAGCCUGGUGUGGUGGGGUGCGCCUGUAGUCUCAGCUGCUUGUGGGGCUGAGGCGGGAGAAUAGCUUGAGCUCCAGGGGUCGAGGCUGCAGUGAGCCAUAAUGGUGCUGCUGCAUUCCAGCCUGGGUGACAAAGUGAGACUAUCUCAAAAAAAAAAACGGCUGUUAGAUAAAAAUGAAGACAAACAACAUUUGCAAGGAUAUAAAUCUUAACCCAUUUAUUGGGGGUAUAGGCUCUGGUGUCAGAUUUCCAUCUGUCCUGUAUUUUGUAACCACAAAAUUGUCCUGGCUGGAUUAAUUGUAAGGAAGUCCCUUUAAACACAUCUAGACUUCCAAAGUUUGUUUACAUACUAAUUAGUUGUCAUGAAAAGCUGCAUUCAACCCAGGGUCUGAGAUGCCUUUUGUAUAUGAAAAGUGCUUCUCUUUCUGACACUGACUGAAUUACAUACAUAACAGAUUCAUUUAUUUAAAAACAAUUUAAGAGGCUUUUUCUAUAAUGCUGAACCUGCUGUGUGGUAUUUAUGUUUAAUUCUGGUCAAAUUUUCAAAACUAAUAAACACUGCAAUUCAAAACCAUUAAUUAUCAAGCAUAGACCAAGUAUCUGAGGUUAUGAGCACAUAUUUAAGAGGUUAGACUCUGGCAUUCCAGACAUUGCAAAUAAUACUUUUCUCAUUUCUAAAUUUCCUAGAAACAAGUGGAGAUUUGUAAAAGGAAAUAAUACUCUUUAAAACAUUUAUUUUUGACUCAGGAUCUGGCUCUGUUGCCCUAGCUAGAGUGCAGUGGUGCCAUCAUCACAGCUCACACAAUAGCCUGGAACUACUGGGCUCAAACCAUCCUCCCACCUCAGCCUCCCAAGUAGCUGGGACUGCAGAUGCAGGCCAUCAUGUCCCGCUAAGUUUUAUUUUAUUUUUGUAGAGACAGAGUCUAUGUUGCUCAGGCUGGUCCUGAACUCCCGGCAUCAAGUGAUCCUCCCACCUCCCAAUAAAACAUGUACUGAUGGCCAGGCACUUGGCUCACGCCUGUAAUCCCAGCACUUUGGGAGGCCGAGGCGGGCAGAUCAUGAGGUCAAGAGAUCAAGACCAUUCUGGCCAACAUGGUGAAACCCUGUCUCUACUAAAAAUACAAAAAUUAGCCAGGUGUGGUGGCACGCGCCGGUAGUCUCAGCUACUCCGGAGGCCGAGGCAGGAUAAUUGCUUGAACCCCAGAGGCGGAGGUUGCAGUGAGCCGAGAUCGUGCCACUGCACUCCAGCCUGGCGACAGAGCAAGACUCUGUCUCAAAAAAAAAAAAAAAACCAAAAACCAAAAAAUCAAAACCAAAACCAUGUAUUGAUAUCAAAGUUUUUUUAUCCUGGCAGGGCACAGUGGCUCACGCCUGUAAUCCCAGCACUUUGGGAGGCUGAGGCAGGUGGAUCACGAGGUCAGGAGUUCAAGACCAGCCUGGCCAAGAUGGUGAAGACCCGUCUCUACUAAAAAUACAAAAAUUAGCCAGGCGCAGUGGCAGGCGCCUGUAAUCCCAGCUACUCGGGAGGCUGAGGCAGGAGAAUCGUUUGAAACCAGGAGGGUAGAGGUUGCAGUGAGCCAAGAUUGUGCCACUGUACUCCAGCCUGGGUGACAGAGUGAUACUAUGUCUCAAAAAAAAAAAAAAAAAAAAAAGAAAAAGAAAAAAGAAAGAAAGUUGCUUUAUCUUUAAAACUAUAUAUAUUGUUUUCACCCCUACAUAGUCCUUGCCUCCCAGACAUCUCCUCACUAACGUCAGUAGACAAUUUGGCAUCUGAUGGUUUGAAAUAGUUUCUGUAAUCAAAUCCUGAAUAAAAUCCAUUUUAAAGC
RNAcentral lists this long non-coding RNA (14259 nucleotides) under Homo sapiens (human). Its description in RNAcentral is "HSALNT0319262". The record is from RNAcentral. Lineage: Eukaryota; Metazoa; Chordata; Mammalia; Primates; Hominidae.